Long non-coding RNA from Oncorhynchus tshawytscha (Chinook salmon), 2381 nucleotides. Lineage: Eukaryota; Metazoa; Chordata; Actinopteri; Salmoniformes; Salmonidae. The record is from Ensembl.
GGCGGGGAAAAGUUACAACAAGCCAAUAGAGUUCAACCAAGAGGACAAUAUGUCAUAUGAAUCCACUCAAGCCUCCCACGGUUCAGAAGAGGCAUUUCGCCAUGUUAAAAGACUGGAGGAAGAUGUUAUUCAUCUCCCAAAAGAGGAUGAAAAUGAUAUGUCUAACAAACAUGAGGAGCAAUUGGAAGAUGAAUUGCACCCCUAUGGGUAUGGUAACGAUGAUUGUGAAAGAUUGGGAGGAUUCAUUAAGGAAAAUGACAUGACAGAAAGAAUCGAUAAGUUCAACCAAGAGGAGAUUAUCUCAUAUGAAUCUGCUCAAGCUUCUCACUGGUCAGAAGAGGUAUUUCACCAUGUUGAAAGAGUGGAGGAAGGUGACAUAAAUUUCACAAAAGUGGAUGAUGAAAAUGAUAUGUCUAACAAACGUGAGGAACAACAUGCACUGAACCCCAAUGGGGAUGUAAAGGAUGAAUGGGAUCGAGUGGCAGGGUACAAUGAAGAGAAUGGAAUUGGAGAAAGAAUGGAUGAUUGGAAAGAAGCAAAGUAUCAUGUGAAAGAGGAAGAGAUGUGGAAUAACAGAGAAGCCCAACCCAAUCGGUCUGAUCAAGAGUAUAUACCUUCAAAUGAAGAGAAACAAAAUCUAUUCGAGCAAGAGCAAAUACCUUCAGGCAGAGAGAAACUGAAUCAGUCUGAGCAAAGGUAUAUCAAUUCAAACGGAGAGAAACUGAAUCAAUCUGAGCAAGAACAUAUACCUUCAGGCGGAGAGAAACUGAAUCAAUCCGAGCCAGAGUACAUAACUUCAGGCGGAGAGAAACAGAACGUAAAUGCACAAGAACACAUAACAACAGACGGAGAGAAAAUGAAUCAAUCCGAGUCAGAGUAUAUACCUUCAGGUGGAGAGAAACUGAAUCAAUCCGAGCCAGAGUACAUAACUUCAGGCGGAGAUAAACUGAAUAUAUCCGACAAUGACAAAGAGGAUCAUGAUGAGGCAAACUACUGUCAAAAUAAUUCUGUUUCAUGGAGGGCUGAGCUAGAAGGCGACAGCUAUGCUCAGGACAACACACUAGCCGACACACACCCCUUGAUCCGUUACAAGAGUGACGAGACGGAUGUCAACACUCUGGCUUCACACAUGGGCGAGAGCGACUCCAGUGAUGGUGAAGAGGACAGGGAGGUUUGCCAGACAGGAACAGACACCUGGGGCGAAGGCAAGUCCAAACAGUUUGACACCAUGGAGGAUCUGUAUGAAGAGUCAGAAGGAGAUGUCAUAGAUCAGGAACGUCACAUGGGCUCCACUCACCAAGGCGACGUGGAUGCUAGCCAAACAAAGGAGCAUGCUACACAGGAGAACGAUGAGGAGAAUGCUGUAGAUCAGUUGAUUCAGGAGGCAGAAGAGGAGCAAUCCUAUGAGGAACUUACAGAACCUGGAGAGUACUCCAUGGUGUGCUCUGAUGAGGACUAUAAUGAAGAAAGAAUUGAUAGAUUGGUGGAGCAAGAGCUAGAGAAUUUAUCUAUAUCCAGUUACAGUGAACACUUUACUGGGCAGAUGAUUGAGAGCGAGUCAGUACUGAGUCUUCAAAUUGAGUCUCACACUGAACUUUCCCAGACACAAGACAUAUUAUACAGUGAGGAGGUAGAGCAGAUACACUCAGAGAGACUGAAUCAAACUGAGCAAAAGUAUAUACACUCAGAGAGACUGAAUCAACCUGAGCAAGAGUAUAUACACUCAGAGAGACUGAAUCAAUCUGAACAAGAGUAUAUACCUUCAGGAGGAGAGAAACUGAAUCUAAAUGCACAAGAACACAUACCCACAGAUGGAGAGAAUCUGAAUCAAUCUGAACAAGAGUAUAUACCCUCAGGCAGAGAGAAACUGAAUCUAUAUGUGCAAGAAAACAUACCCUCAGAUGGAGAGAAAAUGAAUCAAUCUGAACAAGAGAAGAUACCUUCAGGAGGAGAGAAACUGAAUCAAUCUGAGCCAGAGUAUAUAAUUUCAGGCGGAGAGAAACUGAAUCAAUCUGAGUCAGAGUACAUAACUUCAGGCGGAGAGAAACAGAACGUAAAUGCACAAGAACACAUACCAACAGACGGAGAGAAAAUGAAUCAAUCCGAGUCAGAGUAUAUACCUUCAGGUGGAGAGAAACUGAAUCAAUCCGAGCCAGAGUACAUAACUUCAGGCGGAGAGAAACUGAAUCUAUAUGUGCAAGAACACAUACCCUCAGACAGAGAGAAAAUGAAUCAAUCCGAGCAAGAAAAUAUACCUUUAGGUGGAGAAAAACUGAAUCAAUUCGAGCAAGAAAAUAUACCUUUAGGUGGACAGAAACUGAAUCAAUUCGAGCCAGAGUAUAUAAUUUCAGGCGGAGAGAAACUGAAUCUAUAUGAACAAG